Molecule: long non-coding RNA, 740 nt
Organism: Carassius gibelio (silver crucian carp)
Lineage: Eukaryota; Metazoa; Chordata; Actinopteri; Cypriniformes; Cyprinidae
Exons: 2
Source: RefSeq, a predicted model, not a curated record
UGUACAGUAGUAUGCAGAUUUAAAAAAAGAAAACCUGGCAUCCUUUAUUCAUGAAAUUAUUAAUAGUCCUUAAAGGUAAGAGUGAGACAAACCACUUUUCUAUAGGCUAUAUACAUUGCCUUUGUUUUUGAAAGCCGACUUGGUUUCAGUUGUGAUUUCUUUGCAAGUGUUCCUCCGAAUGUCAAGAUGAGAGAGGCCUGGAGAUCUCAACAUGCCCUGUUCCUGUCUGUAUGAGUCCAAUAUUCACCCAGACGGUGUGCUCUUUCUCAAAGAAGCUUUCUGCAGUGCGUUAUGGGAUUGUGUUCUGUGUGGAGAAGGAACAGUAUGCACCUCUUUAUCUGCCCUCAGUGUUUUCUGGAUGAUGAUGUCUUUGUUCAGGAUGCUUCUGUGUGUAAUGGUCACAUAUUAGAUUCAGCCAACAGAAACGGAGACAAACAUGAGCUUGGCAGAGAAAUUAACUUUAUCCAAAUCUGAUCUUGUAAUGUUAAUUUUAGUAUUCCAGUCAUCUAUGACCAUCGCCAUAGGAAUAAUAACAUUAAAUGGUGGAGUUCUGCUCCCUCACUACUAUAAAACUUAUAAAACAUGAAGCUAAUAAAGCAAUCACUGUUCAACAGGUGAUCGGUAACGCAAACAGACUUUAAAGUCCAACAGAAGAAAAGCCAGUGUUUAAUUAUUCAUUCACAUCUAUUCUGUGUUUUGGUACAGCUGGAAAUAAACAGGCCGUUGUAUAAACUCCAAAA